This 437-nucleotide transfer-messenger RNA is filed under the name Candidatus Omnitrophota. RNAcentral describes it as "DTHP01 sp023819145 Standard tmRNA". It matches the Rfam family "transfer-messenger RNA". From Rfam's summary of the family: Bacterial tmRNA, also known as 10Sa RNA or SsrA, is named for its dual tRNA and mRNA-like properties. Its role is to liberate the mRNA from a stalled ribosome. To accomplish this part of the tmRNA is used as a reading frame that ends in a translation stop signal. RNAcentral also lists the same sequence under 1 other name. The record is from RNAcentral. Lineage: Bacteria; Pseudomonadati.
GGGGGUGAAAGGUCUCGACUUAAGUAGCUUUGCUGAAAGAAGCAUGCCGAGGUUGCAAGGAGGCCUCGUUCCGAAUGAAGCGAAUACGCAAGUAUCGCUUCGGGAUUCCGAUGGUGAGGCUGGAUAAGUCUCAGCAUUCGGAAGAAAACACCUUGCACAUUGAUAACUGCCGACUACAGUCCGGUAGUAGAAGUCCUUCCUGCCUAAUUGCCAGGAAGGCCUCUCUUGAGGUCUUGCCUGUGGACCUGAAGAGAGAAUUUAAACAGGAUGCGCUUACCAAGUUAGCUCUUCUAAGGUAAGCAAAGAUUUAAAGAGCUGGCUAUGUUUAAUCCUGUCUAUCGGAGUAAGCGUAGCGAGAUAAAAAAGAUAGACUAAGCAUGUAGGGUCUUUUAGCAGAGAACUUAAGGACGCGGGUUCGAUUCCCGCCACCUCCAUUG